Pogoniulus pusillus (Red-fronted tinkerbird) is the source of this 748-nucleotide long non-coding RNA. RefSeq lists it as uncharacterized. NCBI's taxonomy places the organism in Eukaryota, Metazoa, Chordata, Aves, Piciformes, Lybiidae. The record is from RefSeq and is a predicted model, not a curated record. The transcript has 3 exons.
UCGAUAUCACAUUUUAUGCCUGCUGCACCCUUCAUGAAGAAUCAAGACAACAUUGAUUCCAGACACCAGAAGAUCUAACUAAGUCAGAAUGUCUCAGUUACAGUCCAGAUCUCUAUUUAUUACCUACCUCACCAAGAAAGACAAGGAGAAAAUCGUUCAAGUCCCGGCUAUUUGUGUGUGAUCAGUAAAUAUUUAGUGUGGCGACAUCUUCAGCUCCUCUCCUGAUCAAUACGCAACCCAACAGGAGGUGGACUAUUGUCCGGGUAGUGACUUGCUGAGAUCUCCUUUAGAUGAAUUCUUUGCUCCCCAUCCAGUCUGUUAUGAUUUAUCCUCGAAGGUAACCAGUAAAGAGAAAUUGAGGCUUUAAAAACGUCUAUUUCUAACCUGUUUACCGUGACAUUAAAGCACCCAAGCAAGGAAUGGAUUAUUCUUCCCCGUCUCUUAUCUACCUUUGAUGGGCUAACGCAGCGAAAGCGCUGCUAAAAAAUGACUAUCAAACCGGGCAGCCGGCGCAUCCCUGUACCCUGUCCUCUCUUCCCCGGCCCCUCCAGCAAACCCCCCGUCCUCUCUCAGCGGUGCAAUGUCAAUAUAAAGGAGUCAUUCCUCGGCCCCCUCUGCAGCAGCUCCGGGCACCGGCCUCUCCCCGACAGCUCUGCCCCGGCGGGUGGGUACCGAAGUGCCCAGAAAUGGAAGGUGCCCCAGCAACUUCCAGCCCACCUCCUUCCUCCUCUUCCUCGGAUCCCGCCGC